CCUACGGGAGGCUGCAGUGGGGGAUAUUGCACAAUGGGGGAAACCCUGAUGCAGCAACGCCGCGUGAAGGAAGGCGGUUUUCGGAUUGUAAACUUCUGUUCUUAGUGAAGAAUAAUGACGGUAGCUGAGGAACAAGCCACGGCUAACUACGUGCCAGCAGCCGCGGUAAUACGUAGGUGGCAAGCGUUGUCCGGAAUUACUGGGUGUAAAGGGAGCGCAGGCGGGAAGGCAAGUCAGCUGUGAAAACUCCGGGCUUAACUUGUAGACUGCAGUUGAAACUGGUUUGCUGGAGUGAAGUAGGGGUUGGCGGAAUUCCGGGUGUAGCGGUGAAAUGCGUAGAUAUUCGGAGGAACACCGGUGGCGAAGGCGGCCAACUGGGCUUUAACUGACGCUGAGGCUCGAAAGUGUGGGGAGCAAACAGGAUUAGAUACCCCGGUAGUC
This 441-nucleotide ribosomal RNA is filed under the name uncultured bacterium. RNAcentral's name for it is "partial 16S ribosomal RNA". It matches the Rfam family "Bacterial small subunit ribosomal RNA", at positions 338 to 795 of the family's 1533-position model. The record is from RNAcentral.